RNAcentral lists this transfer RNA (88 nucleotides) under Limihaloglobus sulfuriphilus. Its description in RNAcentral is "Phycisphaerae bacterium SM-Chi-D1 tRNA". It matches the Rfam family "tRNA". From Rfam's summary of the family: Transfer RNA (tRNA) molecules are approximately 80 nucleotides in length. Their secondary structure includes four short double-helical elements and three loops (D, anti-codon, and T loops). Further hydrogen bonds mediate the characteristic L-shaped molecular structure. tRNAs have two regions of fundamental functional importance: the anti-codon, which is responsible for specific mRNA codon recognition, and the 3' end, to which the tRNAs corresponding amino acid is attached (by aminoacyl-tRNA synthetases). tRNAs cope with the degeneracy of the genetic code in two manners: having more than one tRNA (with a specific anti-codon) for a particular amino acid; and 'wobble' base-pairing, i.e. permitting non-standard base-pairing at the 3rd anti-codon position. The record is from Rfam by way of RNAcentral. Lineage: Bacteria; Pseudomonadati; Planctomycetota; Phycisphaerae; Sedimentisphaerales; Sedimentisphaeraceae.
GGAGAGAUGACAGAGUGGUUUAUCGUGCCGGUUUCGAAAAUCGGUGUGUCGCAUUGCGGCACCGGGGGUUCGAAUCCCCCUCUCUCCG